RNAcentral lists this ribosomal RNA (510 nucleotides) under Boana hobbsi (Hobbs' treefrog). RNAcentral's name for it is "partial large subunit ribosomal RNA". It matches the Rfam family "Bacterial large subunit ribosomal RNA", at positions 1856 to 2567 of the family's 2925-position model. Lineage: Eukaryota; Metazoa; Chordata; Amphibia; Anura; Hylidae. The record is from RNAcentral.
AGCCUGCCCAGUGACUUAGUUCAACGGCCGCGGUAUCCUAACCGUGCGAAGGUAGCGUAAUCACUUGUUCUUUAAAUGAGGACUAGUAUGAAUGGCAUCACGAGGGCUAUACUGUCUCCUUUUUUUAAUCAGUGAAACUAAUCCCCCCGUGAAGAAGCGGGGAUAAGUAUAUAAGACGAGAAGACCCUAUGGAGCUUUAAACAAACUAACAAUUGUUUCAAAAACUCUACUUUCAGAAAUACCACUAAAAGCAUAACAUUUUGAUUUAAAAUUUUAGACUGGGGUGAUCACGGAGUAAAAAAUAACCUCCAUGCUGAAAGGUAAAAAUCCCUGAGCAAAAAUCCACAACUUCAUGCACUAGAAAACUAACAUAAAUUGACCCAAUAUUUUGAUCAACGAACCAAGUUACCCUAGGGAUAACAGCGCAAUCCACUUCAAGAGCCCUUAUCGACAAGUGGGUUUACGACCUCGAUGUUGGAUCAGGGUAUCCUAGUGGUGCAGCCGCUACUA